GUCGAACGCUGGCGGUGUGCUUAACACAUGCAAGUCGAACGGUAAGGCCCUUUCGGGGGUACACGAGUGGCGAACGGGUGAGUAACACGUGAGUAACCUGCCCUCAUCUCUGGGAUAACAGUCGGAAACGGUUGCUAAUACUGGAUAUGAGCUUGCAAGGCAUCUUGUGGGUUGGAAAGAUUUUUUUGGUUGGGGAUGGACUCGCGGCCUAUCAGCUUGUUGGUGAGGUAGUGGCUCACCAAGGCUUCGACGGGUAGCCGGCCUGAGAGGGCGACCGGCCACAUUGGGACUGAGAUACGGCCCAAACUCCUACGGGAGGCAGCAGUGGGGAAUAUUGCACAAUGGACGGAAGUCUGAUGCAGCAACGCCGCGUGCGGGAUGACGGCCUUCGGGUUGUAAACCGCUUUCAAUUGUGACGAAGCUUUUUGUGACGGUAGCAGUAGAAGAAGCACCGGCUAACUACGUG
RNAcentral lists this ribosomal RNA (466 nucleotides) under uncultured bacterium. RNAcentral describes it as "partial 16S ribosomal RNA". It matches the Rfam family "Bacterial small subunit ribosomal RNA", at positions 28 to 507 of the family's 1533-position model. The record is from RNAcentral.